UUUGGGUCUAGCUAGGUAUUCUAAAUCUUUCUUUGCUUUUUCACUUUCUUCUCUGGGAUACCUCGACUUCGUUGGUUUUUCGCCCUCCGUUUUUCUUUAGAUUUUUACCCAUUUUUUAUUCGAUUGGAAAUUGGUUUGGGCUGGUCUAAUCCAGCGUUUCCAGGAAACGGUGCCUUUGAAAAUUUGGGAGUUUCGAUUUCGAAUUUCCAUGCUCUGUGUGUUAAAGUUUUUCUGGCUAAUGAAAUACCCCUGCCAUCGCUCUCCAGUCUAUGCAACGUAUUUUUUCAUUUCAAAAAGGCACUUCUUCAUGAUUGGGUAUUGCUGCGAUGACGACAAGAAGUUGCUGGUGGCGGAGUACAUGCAUCAUGAUACACUUGCCAAACAUCUCUUCAACUGGGAGAAUCAGACCAUUGAGUGGGCUAUGAGACUAUGAGUUGCUCUGAACAUUGCCGAAGUAUUGGAUUACUGCAGUAUUGAAGGCCGCCCAUUGUACCAUGACUUCAAUUCAUAUAUGGUUCUCUUUGAUGAGGUGAUGUCUCCAAUUUCCUUUCCCAAAUUUGUUUAUUUAGUUUUUCAAUUUUUACAAGAAGUGAGAUAAUUUUGAUCACAUAUCAUUGUGGAACAUUUUUUUGAUAAGUAGACAUUUUUUGCUCUGUUAAGACUUUUUAUCUGACAACUACAUGGAUUUAUAUGAGAUCAAAGUGGUAAUUUCAUGGAUGGUGUUGCAAGAAUGGCAAUCCUACGCCUUCGAGUUUUGGGUUGAUGAAAAACAGUAGGGAUGAAAAAAGUAACAGCACUAAUCUUGCACAAGCCUCCUGAAUAUCUAAGAAAUGGUAAUUGCCUAUUUUCCUUAAAUCAUAAUUAUUAUUUAUUAUACCAUAUCUAAGAAUACUUGAGAAUGAUGAGUUGGGAUCAGUGUGCCAAUUAUUGCUAUCAUGUGCUUUACACUAAGACUAAAGUCACAAUGCAUUUUUGAACUCUGCAAAAUGAACUCUAUGCAUUGCAAAUCCAUCAUUAAGACUAAACUCUCAGUGCAAUUAAUAGUGUGACUAGAAAGUGUUAUGUUCAACUUAUGGACUGUCCUUUUGGACUUUCUUUUGUUUUCCUGCUGCUUUCACGCUCGUUUGUUGCUCUUUGAAUUGUUUUGAGGAUACCCAAUUGCCCAAAUUGUUCAAAUUUGGCCCUUCAGUGAGCUUUUACGUAAAUGGGGGUAAGGCUAGCCGACAUUCAUCUCUUCCAGACCCUGCGUAAAGUGGGAGCCUUGUGCACUGGGAAUUGUAAAGGAGAGAGAGGAGUGUUGUGUUUGGAAUAAAGUUUAUUUUUUUGUAUUUAAAUUAUCUAGAUGAGCAAUUGGUGUGUUUUUUCUUCUGCCAGUGAGUAUUUUUGCAUUGUGUGGUUAGUAUUUAUGCAGAAUACCAUAUACAAUGUGUGCAUUUAGUAUUGUUAGCAUAUGUUGUAAAUGGUUAGAUGGCACAUAUGUUAUAUGUAUAUGUGAUAAAUUUAUAUUUACAUUAUCUGGAUGCGGUUGAAUCAAAGCGCAAGGCAAAACAUUGGCUUCACUGGAAGAAAGAAAAAAAAAUCUGCAAAAGGGGAAACUGAAGUGAUGGAAAUUGGAGACAAAAUGAGAAAUUGGAUGCUUUUUAUCAGUGGAUAAGUCAUUACAAGCUAAUCAUACUGGUAAUAGAAAUUACUCUUUGCUUGCAUGCUUUUUAACAUGGAGAGAAAUUGAAUUUGUAUUUUAGAAUUAGCGUUCUUCUUGAUAUUCAACUGUUUUGAAAGGUCUUUUUUGAAAUUGUAUUUCGAAUUAGUGUUCUUUUUUGGUUUCUACUAAUUAGUGUUCUUUUUUAUUUAGAACAAAAGGUCAAUAAUUUCCUUCCUACAUUCCACAUGUAUGCAAGUAGUAUUGCCUAUUGUUAUGUAAGUAGUAUUGCCUAUUGUUAAUGAACAAUGAGACAUCAAUCACAUGUACUAACAUAGUAUUUCA
Malus domestica (apple) is the source of this 1984-nucleotide non-coding RNA. The record is from RefSeq and is a predicted model, not a curated record. Lineage: Eukaryota; Viridiplantae; Streptophyta; Magnoliopsida; Rosales; Rosaceae.